This 912-nucleotide long non-coding RNA is filed under the name Monodelphis domestica (gray short-tailed opossum). RNAcentral describes it as "lncRNA (ENSMODG00000035102.2)". The record is from RNAcentral. Lineage: Eukaryota; Metazoa; Chordata; Mammalia; Didelphimorphia; Didelphidae.
GAGCUCUGUUCAGCCAAGACUUCCCCAAUAUUUACUCAGCACGAUAUUUCUGGAGAGCUGGCAGUGAUGCACACAGCAUUGUUCCAGGCAACGGAGGGUAAAUGAUGAUGAGUAACACCUUCAUCCUAUAAGAAUGCAUGGUCCAUUCAGAGCGAUGAGAGCCUCACACAGAAUAUCUUAAGAGCAAAUGAUUGCAGACUAAGAAGGACUCUGUCGUGAAGAGUUUAGUGAAUGGAGGAUCCCUUCUUCUACCUGGGAAUCAGGAAAGUCUUUAUGAACAAGAUGCUCUUUAAACUGGUCAUUGAGGCCAGAGAAUGUCAGCAGAGAGAUGGAUGGGUAGGGAAGGCAUUCCAGAGUUAAGAAGUGAAUGAAGAAGUGCAGAAGAAAGAACACCUUGGUUUCUACCACAUAUGGAAAUUUGUCUAAUCUGGCAGAUAUGUACAUAUAUAGAUAUUAAUGUGAGAUCAAGCAGAAAAGACAGGAAGAUCUUGUUCUAAGUUGUUGAUUCGGUUUGGGUUCUGGGACGUUCCCAUUACUGGCCACCUCUCGCUGCCCUAAUGGAGACAAGUCACUGCACAUGUGUACCGAUACAGAGGCACCAUUAUGCACCUUCCCAAGUCAGCUGAUAAAACAGGUCCUCCCCCUACCUGAAAUGUCUGCCAAAGAAGAAGAGAUGCAGAAAAGACAGAUUCCAGCCUCUUCAUGUAGUGAACAGGUAGCUCUGAUGCCUGGAGAGGGUCCUCACAAGGAAGGGAGAUGAUCUUCCUUCUUGUCAAUGAGGUUUUUAGCGGGCACCUUUGGCUUCCCUUAUUCCCCUUGAAAAAAUCAAAAGAGACUAAUGAAGAAUUCCCUCAAAGAGGUGAGACCCACAAAUUCCAAAUAAAUUACAUUUACAAAAUAUUCUAGAGCUCA